Non-coding RNA from Potamilus streckersoni, 66 nucleotides. The record is from the annotation of a GenBank genome assembly. NCBI's taxonomy places the organism in Eukaryota, Metazoa, Mollusca, Bivalvia, Unionida, Unionidae.
GUGGCCUAGUGGUUAGAGCGUCCACCUCAGAUGCGGGGGUCGUAGGUUCGAACUCCAGCCAAGUCA